Molecule: small RNA, 287 nt
Filed under: Bacillus sp. 1NLA3E
Lineage: Bacteria; Bacillati; Bacillota; Bacilli; Caryophanales; Bacillaceae
Description: 5' ureB small RNA
Rfam family: 5' ureB small RNA
Source: Rfam by way of RNAcentral
CCGUUUCAAUUUGUUGUGGGCAAAUAAAAUGAAUGUGCGCAUCAAUACCACCUGCUGUCACAAUCAUCCCUUCCGCAGCAAUCACUUCUGUGCCCGCACCAAUUACAAUAUUGACACCAUCCAUUAAUAAAGGAUUUCCCGACUUACCAAUUGCAGAAAUGAGCCCCUCUUUGAUUCCAAUAUCUGCUUUAUAAAUACCUGUAUAAUCCACAAUCAUUGCAUUUGUUAAGACAAGAUCUACCGUUUUGUCAUCUGUAGCUAACGGAUGUUGCCCCAUUCCAUCACGA